AGAGAUGGAUUGGUGGCCUUCGGGAACGUCUGACACAGGUGCUGCAUGGCUGUCGUCGGCUCGUGUCGUGAGAUAGUUGGGUUAAGUCCGUAACGAGCGCAACCCUUGUCCUUAGUUACCAGCACGUUAUGGUGGGCACUCUAAGGAGACUGCCGGUGACAAACCGGAGGAAGGUGGGGAUGACGUCAAGUCAUCAUGGCCCUUACGGCCUGGGCUACACACGUGCUACAAUGGUCGGUACAAAGGGUUGCCAAGCCGCGAGGUGGAGCUAAUCCCAUAAAACCGAUCGUAGUCCGGAUCGCAGUCUGCAACUCGACUGCGUGAAGUCGGAAUCGCUAGUAAUCGUGAAUCAGAAUGUCACGGUGAAUACGUUCCCGGGCCUU
RNAcentral lists this ribosomal RNA (383 nucleotides) under uncultured Pseudomonas sp. RNAcentral describes it as "bacterial SSU rRNA". It matches the Rfam family "Bacterial small subunit ribosomal RNA", at positions 1002 to 1382 of the family's 1533-position model. The record is from RNAcentral. Lineage: Bacteria; Pseudomonadati; Pseudomonadota; Gammaproteobacteria; Pseudomonadales; Pseudomonadaceae.